UACGUAGGGGGCAAGCGUUGUCCGGAUUUAUUGGGCGUAAAGCGCUCGCAGGUGGUCCGUCGCGUCGUGCGUGAAAGACCCCGGCUCAACUGGGGAGGGUCGUGCGAUACGGGCGGACUGGAGGCCAGUAGGGGGAUGCGGAAUUCCGGGUGUAGUGGUGGAAUGCGUAGAGAUCCGGAGGAACACCAGCGGCGAAGGCGGCAUCCUGGACUGGUCCUGACACUCAGGAGCGAAAGUGUGGGGAGCGAACAGG
Molecule: ribosomal RNA, 253 nt
Filed under: uncultured bacterium
Lineage: Bacteria
Description: partial 16S ribosomal RNA
Rfam family: Bacterial small subunit ribosomal RNA
Source: RNAcentral